RNAcentral lists this ribosomal RNA (240 nucleotides) under Staphylococcus epidermidis NIHLM088. Its description in RNAcentral is "partial 16S ribosomal RNA". It matches the Rfam family "Bacterial small subunit ribosomal RNA", at positions 1 to 226 of the family's 1533-position model. The record is from RNAcentral. Lineage: Bacteria; Bacillati; Bacillota; Bacilli; Caryophanales; Staphylococcaceae.
UUUUUAUGGAGAGUUUGAUCCUGGCUCAGGAUGAACGCUGGCGGCGUGCCUAAUACAUGCAAGUCGAGCGAACAGACGAGGAGCUUGCUCCUCUGACGUUAGCGGCGGACGGGUGAGUAACACGUGGAUAACCUACCUAUAAGACUGGGAUAACUUCGGGAAACCGGAGCUAAUACCGGAUAAUAUAUUGAACCGCAUGGUUCAAUAGUGAAAGACGGUUUUUGCUGUCACUUAUUAGAU